GAUGAAGAACGCAGCGAAAUGCGAUACUUGGUGUGAAUUGCAGAAUCCCGUGAACCAUCUAGUCUUUGAACGCAAGUUGCGCCUCAAGCCAUUAGGUUGAGGGCACGUCUGCCUGGGCGUCACAUAUCGUUGCCUGAUGCCAGUUUCCUCGUGAUGGGUGACUGUGCAGGGCGAAUGAUGGCUUCCCGUGAGCAUUGUUGCCUCAUGGUUGGUUGAAAAUUGAGUCCUUGGUAGGGAGCGCCGUGAUAGAUGGUGGUUGAGUGACGAACGAGACCCAAUCAUGUGAGACCCCUACCGAAUUUGGCCUUCAUGACCCACAUGCGUCUUUGGAACGCUCAUGACGAGACCUCAGGUCAGGCGGGGCUACCCGCUGAGUUUAAGCAUAUCAAUAAGCGGAGGA
This 400-nucleotide unclassified non-coding RNA is filed under the name soil metagenome. RNAcentral describes it as "partial contains 5.8S ribosomal RNA, internal transcribed spacer 2, and large subunit ribosomal RNA". The stretch from base 1 to 122 matches the Rfam family "5.8S ribosomal RNA", at positions 35 to 154 of the family's 154-position model. The record is from RNAcentral.